RNAcentral lists this ribosomal RNA (375 nucleotides) under Protaphis terricola. Its description in RNAcentral is "bacterial SSU rRNA". It matches the Rfam family "Bacterial small subunit ribosomal RNA", at positions 95 to 471 of the family's 1533-position model. The record is from RNAcentral. Lineage: Eukaryota; Metazoa; Arthropoda; Insecta; Hemiptera; Aphididae.
GCGGCAAACGGGUGAGUAAUAUCUGGGAAUCUACCCAAAAGAGGGGGAUAACUACUAGAAAUGGUAGCUAAUACCGCAUAAAGUUGAAAAACCAAAGUGGGGGACCUUUUAGGCCUCAUGCUUUUGGAUGAGCCCAGACGAGAUUAGCUUGUUGGUAAGGUAAAGGCUUACCAAGGCGACGAUCUCUAGCUGGUCUGAGAGGAUAACCAGCCACACUGGAACUGAGACACGGUCCAGACUCCUACGGGAGGCAGCAGUGGGGAAUAUUGCACAAUGGGCGAAAGCCUGAUGCAGCUAUGCCGCGUGUAUGAAGAAGGCCUUAGGGUUGUAAAGUACUUUCAGUAGGGAGGAAAAAAAUAAAACUAAUAAUUUUAU